RNAcentral lists this ribosomal RNA (274 nucleotides) under uncultured bacterium. Its description in RNAcentral is "partial 16S ribosomal RNA". It matches the Rfam family "Bacterial small subunit ribosomal RNA", at positions 523 to 796 of the family's 1533-position model. The record is from RNAcentral.
AUACGGAGGUGGCAAGCGUUGUUCGGAUUUAUUGGGUGUAAAGGGUAUGUAGGUGGUUAGAUAAGUCGAGCGUGAAAUCCAUUGGCUCAACCAAUGAACUGCACUCGAAACUGUUUAACUUGAGUUCAGGAGAGGAAAGCGGAAUUCCAGGUGUAAGAGUGAAAUCUGUAGAGAUCUGGAGGAACACCAGUGGCGAAGGCGGCUUUCUGGACUGACACUGACACUGGAAUACGAAAGCUAGGGGAGCAAACAGGAUUAGAAACCCCAGUAGUCC